This is a non-coding RNA of Paramuricea clavata, 1134 nucleotides long. Lineage: Eukaryota; Metazoa; Cnidaria; Anthozoa; Malacalcyonacea; Plexauridae. The record is from the annotation of a GenBank genome assembly.
CCACAAUCGGUUCGAAGAAGUAAAGACUUUAUAAUAUCACGUUUUGUUUAAGUUAUAAUUCCCGUUCUAAAAUCAACGCUCGCUCACAUGUUAUGUACUAUAUCCGAAGUGUCAAUCAAAUUGUACAUUUCCUUAAUAAUAUUAACACUACUGAUCUAUAAAUGUAACUGUAUAAACGUUCACGACACACUCCCCCUAUUUUAAAUAAUCCUUAUUUGAAAUAUAAACUGACUAAGUUUGACUAACUGUUGUUCGCUUUAUCAAGUCACUUACAGUUUUACUUAUACCCAUGCAAAGUUAUUAGUCACCGUCCUCUUCAGUCUCCUGCAUCUGAUGAAUAUUCCUUAAUGCUUCAACCGCUGCUCUUCGUUUUGGUCUAAACUCUCCGGCUUCGGGAUUCAGUUCUCCUUGAUUUUGUUUCUUCGCUUCACAGUGUAGCUCCAUUGGAUAUAGAAACUGAAUAGGUCUUUCGAGGUAACUUUUUCCUGCACGCAGUCUCACCGCUCUCACGAUUUCAUCUCUUCCAGGUAUUAGUUUGUCCACGAUUCCAAUCUUCCACUUGCCUCGGUUCUUUUCAUCGCCCUUGAUAAGAACUACAUCGCCUUCUUGCAAUCGUGCGCUUUUCCCGUGGUGUCGUAAAUCGUGUCUCUCUCGAAGUGCUCUCGUGUAUUCAUUUCGCCAACGACGCCAUAACGCAUCUUUACACUUCUUUAAAUGUUUUGCUCUCCUUCGUAGAUCGUCUUCUUCAAUUUCUUCGACAGGCAACUCUAAUACCGGGUGGCCCAAAAAAAGUACUCCUGUUUGAUUCGUAAUAACAUCUAAACAAGUAUAGCUUUUAAAGAGAAAUAACUUGCAUCAAAUAGAGGAAGGACUAACUUAGACUUUGAUAUAUUACAGUUGUAUUUCACUUAAAAAUUCACGGAGAUAUUAAUCUUUAAAUUCGGGAGGAUAUUUCUGGAUGUGUCCGAAAUAUGCAAAAAUCGGCGUAUCAAAUAUUAAUCAAGAUUUGCCCGACUGAAACAUGCACUAUUACCAGUAAAUAAAUGACACUUGACAAAUUGUUUAUUAUGAAACAAAGUAUUAUUAUAUCUAUUAAUCCUGCUCUAACCGAGAAAUAAUCAACUUUGUUUUGAA